RNAcentral lists this ribosomal RNA (252 nucleotides) under uncultured bacterium. Its description in RNAcentral is "partial 16S ribosomal RNA". It matches the Rfam family "Bacterial small subunit ribosomal RNA", at positions 524 to 776 of the family's 1533-position model. The record is from RNAcentral.
GACGGAGGAUGCAAGCGUUAUCCGGAAUGAUUGGGCGUAAAGCGUCCGCAGGUGGCAGUUCAAGUCUGCUGUCAAAGACCGGGGCUUAACUUCGGAAAGGCAGUGGAAACUGAACAGCUAGAGUAUGGUAGGGGCAGAGGGAAUUCCUGGUGUAGCGGUGAAAUGCGUAGAUAUCGGAAGGAACACCGGUGGCGAAAGCGGCGCGCUGGACCCCCACUGACGCUGAGGCGCGAAAGCCAGGGAGCAAACGGG